GAGAAAACUCAGCAAAAUCAGGAGGACAUUGCCCCCUUUCACAUUGGAAGGCCUUCUUGCAAAAGAGCUCCAAGGCUUUUUCAAAUGGUAGAAAUGGUAGCUUGUACACAUAAUAAUCUAGAGAUUCAUUGUUGGAAGGUGCAACAUCCUCAUUUCGGGUUGUGAUUAUUAUUCUAUUGCCUUUGACAUUAUCUGGGAAAGCACAUUUUAUAUGGUCCCAAAAUCCUGUAUCCCAUAUAUCAUCAAAAAUUACUAAAUACCUUUGUUCAUAUAAAUAGGUCCUCAAUUCUUCAAUUAGUGAUGGCACUUUCAUUAUGUCAAUUUCCCUAGGAGCAAACCCCUUCCUUGCCUUGUAGAAUUGCUUGAUCGUAUCCCUUAAUAGCUCCUCCAUCUUGUAUGAUUGAGACACAGUGAUCCAAGCACGACAAUCAAAGUGUGGUGCCACCUUAUCAUUGUCAUAUACUUUCUUGACAAGAGUGGUCUUCCCAAGGCCACCAAGGCCAACCACUGAAAACA
Molecule: long non-coding RNA, 516 nt
Organism: Quercus robur (English oak)
Lineage: Eukaryota; Viridiplantae; Streptophyta; Magnoliopsida; Fagales; Fagaceae
Exons: 3
Source: RefSeq, a predicted model, not a curated record